GCGCAGCAGGCGCGAAAACUUCACAAUGUGCGAAAGCACGAUGAGGGAAUCCCAAGUGCUUGCACGUAAGUGUAAGCUGUUUCUCUGUCUAAAACGCAGAGAGAGUAAGGGCUGGGUAAGACGGGUGCCAGCCGCCGCGGUAAUACCUGCAGCUCGAGUGGUGACCGUUAUUAUUGGGCCUAAAACGUCCGUAGCCGGUUUAAUAAAUGCCUGGGUAAAUCGGACCGCUUAACGGUUCGAAUUCCGGGUAGACUGUUAAACUUGAGACCGGGAGAAGUUAGAGGUACUCCUGGGGUAGAGGUGAAAUUCUGUAAUCCUAGGGGGACCACCAGUGGCGAAGGCGUCUAACUAGAACGGGUCUGACGGUGAGGGACGAAGCCCUGGGGCGCAAACGGGAUUAGAUACCCGUGUAGU
Molecule: ribosomal RNA, 414 nt
Filed under: uncultured microorganism
Description: bacterial SSU rRNA
Rfam family: Archaeal small subunit ribosomal RNA
Source: RNAcentral